GAUUAGCUAAAAGUAAACAGAGUUUGAAUAAAAUUCGUGAUAAUGUGAUACCUCUCCCUCGAAACAUCUUGUUCUGCUUUUUUACCAAAUUCAUGGCCUUUAGAAGAACAUCUGAGCUCUGAGGCCAUUCGAAAGUAAAAGAUUGCUUGAACAUAGGCGCUGGGAUGGGCUGGGACAGAGAUUUGAGAACGGAAGCAGCUUCUAAGUGACGAGGGGCGGGGUAGCAAAUCAUCUGUGGCCAAAAGGAUGACUCAUGGCUUGGGUGGUGUUUGCUGCUCUAGAAGUGGUUCCAGAGUGGAGCUGAUGACUGAUGACGGAGGCAGAGUAAAGUCUCCUGCAAUGGCCAGCUCUAUGCCGAGCAUCAGAGUCACCAGAGUGAUGUGUACCAUCACAAGGACAAGCGGCUUGUGGCAUAACCAUUUCCCCACAGAGAUGCUCUGUGUUGCCAUGGAAGAGUCACCAGAUGAAAACAGCCAACUUUGUGCCAUUUCAAGAUGAACAGCAAACCUGGAGGUUUGUCCAGAACCUCAGCUGGCUUUGUGGGAGUGAGACAUAUAUUAAACCACUGAGCUUUGGGAAUUGUUUCAUACCUCAGUGUGGUCUCUCAUGACAAGGGAUUGUUGGGAAAUAAUGAACAAGGUAGUAGAGACCCAAUAUUCCUUUCUUUCUGUCUCAAUGACUGUUUCCACUGAUGCAAAAAGCAGCCACAGCAAUGUGUAAAUAAAUAGAUAUACCUGUGUCCCAAUAAAGCUUUUUAUCAACAGCAAGUCUGGCUCAUUCCCUAGUGCUGGUCUUCGAUCUUGACUAAUGCUUUUGCUUUCUCAUACUUUAUUACAAAUACUCUAAAUGAUGAAAAGCAAAAGGCAUUUCAAGUAAAAACAGGAGCAAGUAAGACUGUCUGCUCUCACUACUUAAUAACACUGUUUGGGACCCUCCAGGAAUUACUCUCUUUUGGUUUUGGAUAAUUGUCUGCAACUCUAUCAGCAUCUUCAGCACCCACUAGUCUAGGAUUCCUGGGAAAGAAAGAGAGGGUGGGAUUUGUCUUCAUUUUCCUUCCCAGAAUUACCGAUGUUUUCUAAGAUGUGGGCUCACGGGUUAGCCCUUGUAAAGAGAGGAACUGUUUUUCUCUCCUGCCUCUGGGUGUCUGGGUGAGCAACCUUGCCAGAGAGUAGCUCUGGUCGAGCAGGUGGCAACAAUGAUGAUGGAGUUGCAAUCAGCUCUCCAAAGCCAGAAAGGCUCACAGUGGGAGAACAUGAAACCCAGACUUGAGUGUUACUGCUGUCCAGCUCUUGCCUUCCUCCCUGGGUUCUUGCCUGAAUGGACAGGAAGAUAGUGGGUUGCUUGAUCACGGACAGCUGACAAGAUAGACUUGACAGAUGAACCUGUGAUGGGUUGAAUGAGACAUAGGCUCAUAGAAUCAUCAGAGAGUGGCACUGUCUAAAAGGAUUAGGAGGUGUGGCCUUGUUGGAGGACCUGUGUCCCUG
RNAcentral lists this long non-coding RNA (1484 nucleotides) under Cricetulus griseus (Chinese hamster). RNAcentral describes it as "lncRNA (ENSCGRG00015034325.1)". The record is from RNAcentral. Lineage: Eukaryota; Metazoa; Chordata; Mammalia; Rodentia; Cricetidae.